This is an RNA transcript of Stegastes partitus (bicolor damselfish), 1975 nucleotides long. It is a transcript of the gene named transcriptional regulator Myc-like, with no coding region annotated. The transcript has 4 exons. NCBI's taxonomy places the organism in Eukaryota, Metazoa, Chordata, Actinopteri, Pomacentridae. The record is from RefSeq and is a predicted model, not a curated record.
GAUUCUCACGCUGCUCAUGACAGACUGUGCGUCGUCGACACACCGGGUCGCUGCUGCAGCCUCUCUGCCCUGCAUGCAUGCUUCAAAGCCUCUGCAACGCCUCUCUGGAAAGGAUUUAAUGUUACUGCCGCACUGGAAUAACUUUCCUGUCCCCUUUUUUGCGCGCCUCGGGUCGAUUGCGCCCCGUCUUGUUUCGCCCGCAGUUUAAAAUCUAGCAGCUAGCUUCACGAUAAGGAGAGAACCAGCGCAGACAUCAUGCCGCUGAAUUCAAGUUUGGCGAGUAAAAACUACGACUAUGAGUACGACUCUCUGCAGCCGUAUUUCUACUACGAUAACGAGGAGGAGGAUUUCUACCCUCAGCAGCUUCAGCCUCCGGCACCGAGCGAAGACAUCUGGAAGAAAUUUGAACUGCUGCCGACCCCUCCCCUCUCCCCGAGCCGCCGGCCGUCCCUGUCCAGCCUCUUCCCCUCCGUCGCCGAUCAGCUGGAGAUGGUGACCGAGUUCCUGGGCGACGACGUGGUCAACCAGAGCAUCAUCUGCGACGCCGACUACUCGCAGACCUUCCUCAAGUCUAUGAUCAUCCAGGACUGCAUGUGGAGCAGCUUCUCCGCCGCGGCCAAGCUGGAGAAGGUGGUCUCCGAGCGGCUCGCUUCCCUCAACGCGGCGAGGAAGGAGCCGGCGGCCGGCGAGAGCGCGGAGCCCGCCGGUGCUGCCGCCGCCGCAGCUGCCUGGAGGCUAAACAGCAGCUACCUGCAAGACCUGAACACGUCCGCGUCGGAGUGCAUCGAUCCGUCUGUGGUUUUCCCUUAUCCGAUCGCCGAGACGCCCAAGCAGAGCGCAGCGUCGCCGCCUAGUAAGGAUUUGGGGCUGGACACGCCGCCCAACAGCGGCAGCAGCAGCAGCAGUUGUAGUGACUCAGAAGAUGAGGAUGGAGACGAUGACGAGGAAGAGGAAGAGGAGGAGGAGGAGGAGGAGGAAGAUGAGGAGGAGAUCGACGUGGUGACGGUGGAGAAGAGGCAGGCGGUAAAGCGGUGUGACCCCAGCCCGCCGGAGAACAGGCAUCCCAGCCCGCUCGUGCUGAAAAGGUGCCACGUCUCCACCCACCAGCACAAUUACGCCGCCCAUCCAUCCAUGAGGCACGAGCAGCCGGCUGUCAAGAGGCUGAAGCUGGAGAGCAGCAGCAGCAGCAGUGGAGCAGCAGCAACAGCAGCAGGAGUAGGAGGAGGCAGCAGUGGCCACAGCAGGGUCCUCAAACAGAUCAGCAGUAACCGCAAGUGUUCGAGCCCCCGGACGUCCGACACGGAGGACUAUGACAAGAGAAGGACUCAUAACGUGCUGGAGCGCCAGAGGAGGAACGAGCUCAAGCUGAGCUUCUUCGCCCUGCGGGACGAGAUCCCCGAGGUGGCCAACAACGAGAAGGCGGCCAAAGUGGUGAUCCUGAAGAAGGCCACAGAGUGCAUUUACAGCAUGCAGACGGACGAACAGAGACUCCUCUCACUCAAAGAGCAGCUGAGGAGGAAAAGUGAACUUUUAAAGCAGAGACUCGCACAGCUGCAGAGCUCUCGCGCUUAAAGUUUGAAUCAUAGACUUUUUUUGGCCUUUUUUUUUUUGUUUUGUUUUUUUAUGCAAGUUCAAGACUUUAGGGUGUACAGUUGUUGUUGCAUGUAAAUGCAAAAUGGAUAAAGUUGUUUGGAAUCUUGCUUGAUUUCAAUGUUGAAACUGCCUCAACUGAAGUUAUGGGUGGAUUAAAUAUUUAAAAGUUUAUUUUUAUUAAUAAAAUGUUAAAAACGGGGCUAUCUUGUUGAGGGCCCACACUAAAAUAUAAAUUUUUAUGUUUUGUAUAUAAUUAAUAUUUCCUAAGAAAAUGUAUUUUUGGAUCUCAAUUGUCUGGAUGUUCAGACCCAGUGUUUGUUUUUUCCAUUAUGUUCCUAGAUUCUUUUUGAAAUAUAAAAAAAAAAAAUGAGUCUGUUUGAAA